CUCCCCGUAGUUCAACGGAUAGAACGAGGGACUUCUAAUCCCUAAAUGGAGGUUCGAUUCCUCCCGGGGAGACAA
This 75-nucleotide transfer RNA is filed under the name Candidatus Wolfebacteria bacterium CG_4_10_14_0_8_um_filter_39_64. RNAcentral's name for it is "tRNA-Arg". It matches the Rfam family "tRNA". From Rfam's summary of the family: Transfer RNA (tRNA) molecules are approximately 80 nucleotides in length. Their secondary structure includes four short double-helical elements and three loops (D, anti-codon, and T loops). Further hydrogen bonds mediate the characteristic L-shaped molecular structure. tRNAs have two regions of fundamental functional importance: the anti-codon, which is responsible for specific mRNA codon recognition, and the 3' end, to which the tRNAs corresponding amino acid is attached (by aminoacyl-tRNA synthetases). tRNAs cope with the degeneracy of the genetic code in two manners: having more than one tRNA (with a specific anti-codon) for a particular amino acid; and 'wobble' base-pairing, i.e. permitting non-standard base-pairing at the 3rd anti-codon position. Lineage: Bacteria; Candidatus Wolfeibacteriota. The record is from RNAcentral. RNAcentral also lists the same sequence under 2 other names.